CGUAGGUGGCAAGCGUUGUCCGGAUUUAUUGGGUUUAAAGGGUGCGUAGGCGGUCCUAUAAGUCAGUGCUGAAAUAUUACAGCUUAACUGUGAGGGUGGCAUUGAUACUGCAGGACUUGAGUAAAGUUGAGGUAGGCGGAAUUGACGGUGUAGCGGUGAAAUGCUUAGAUAUCGUCAAGAACACCGAUAGUGUAGACAGCUUACUAAGCUUUAACUGACGCUGAGGCACGAAAGUGUGGGGAUCAAACAGGAUUAGAUACCCUGGUAGUCCACACUGUAAACGUUGAAGACUCGCUGUUGGCGAUACACAGUCAGCGGCUGAGAGAAAUCGUUAAGUCUUCCACCUGGGGAGUACGCCGGCAACGGUG
Molecule: ribosomal RNA, 368 nt
Filed under: uncultured organism
Description: bacterial SSU rRNA
Rfam family: Bacterial small subunit ribosomal RNA
Source: RNAcentral